UACGGAGGAUCCAAGCGUUAUCCGGAAUUACUGGGCGUAAAGAGUUGCGUAGGUGGCAUAGUAAGUUAAAAGUGAAAGCGUGUGGCUCAACCAUACUCACAUUUCUAAAACUGCUAAGCUUGAAUAUAGAAGAGGUAGCUGGAAUUUCUAGUGUAGGAGUGAAAUCCGUAGAUAUUAGAAGGAACACCGAUGGCGUAGGCAGGCUACUGGUCUAUUAUUGACACUAAGGCACGAAAGCGUGGGGAGCAAACGGG
This 254-nucleotide ribosomal RNA is filed under the name uncultured bacterium. RNAcentral's name for it is "partial 16S ribosomal RNA". It matches the Rfam family "Bacterial small subunit ribosomal RNA", at positions 524 to 776 of the family's 1533-position model. The record is from RNAcentral.